GGAUGAACGCUGGCGGCGUGCUUACCACAUGCAAGUCGAACGAGAAAUGUAGACGGACACCUUCGGGCGGAAGCCUUCAUUUCGAGUGGCGGACGGGUGAGUAACGCGUGGGUAACCUGCCUCAUACAGGGGGAUAACAGUUGGAAACGACUGUUAAUACCGCAUAAGACCACAGCAUCGCAUGAUGCGGGGGUAAAAACUCCGGUGGUAUGAGAUGGACCCGCGUUCGAUUAGCCAGUUGGCGGGGUAACGGCCCACCAAAGCGACGAUCGAUAGCCGAUCUGAGAGGAUGACCGGCCACAUUGGGACUGAGACACGGCCCAAACUCCUACGGGAGGCAGCAGUGGGGAAUAUUGCACAAUGGGGGAAAACCUGAUGCAGCGACGCCGCGUGAGUGAAGAAGUACUUCGGUAUGUAAAGCUCUAUCAGCAGGGAAGAAAAUGACGGUACCUGAGUAAGAAGCCCCGGCUAACUACGUG
RNAcentral lists this ribosomal RNA (479 nucleotides) under uncultured bacterium. RNAcentral's name for it is "partial 16S ribosomal RNA". It matches the Rfam family "Bacterial small subunit ribosomal RNA", at positions 27 to 507 of the family's 1533-position model. The record is from RNAcentral.